GAAGGUGUGCUGUGAGGCAUGCUGGAGGUAUCAGAAGUGCGAAUGCUGACAUAAGUAACGAUAAAGCGGGUGAAAAGCCCGCUCGCCGGAAGACCAAGGGUUCCUGUCCAACGUUAAUCGGGGCAGGGUGAGUCGACCCCUAAGGCGAGGCCGAAAGGCGUAGUCGAUGGGAAACAGGUUAAUAUUCCUGUACUUGGUGUUACUGCGAAGGGGGGACGGAGAAGGCUAUGUCGGCCGGGCGACGGUUGUCCCGGUUUAAGCGUGUAGGCUGACUUUCCAGGCAAAUCCGGAAAGUUAAGGCUGAGGCGUGAUGACGAGGCACCACGGUGCUGAAGUGACAAAUGCCCUGCUUCCAGGAAAAGCCUCUAAGCAUCAGGUAACAUCAAAUCGUACCCCAAACCGACACAGGUGGUCAGGUAGAGAAUACCAAGGCGCUUGAGAGAACUCGGGUGAAGGAACUAGGCAAAAUGGUGCCGUAACUUCGGGAGAAGGCACGCUGACAUGUAGGUGAAGCCCCUGCGGGUGGAGCUGAAGUCAGUCGAAGAUACCAGCUGGCUGCAACUGUUUAUUAAAAACACAGCACUGUGCAAACACGAAAGUGGACGUAUACGGUGUGACGCCUGCCCGGUGCCGGAAGGUUAAUUGAUGGGGUUAUCGCAAGAGAAGCUCCUGAUCGAAGCCCCGGUAAACGGCGGCCGUAACUAUAACGGUCCUAAGGUAGCGAAAUUCCUUGUCGGGUAAGUUCCGACCUGCACGAAUGGCGUAAUGAUGGCCAGGCUGUCUCCACCCGAGACUCAGUGAAAUUGAACUCGCUGUGAAGAUGCAGUGUACCCGCGGCAAGACGGAAAGACCCCGUGAACCUUUACUACAGCUUGACACUGAACAUUGAGCCUUGAUGUGUAGGAUAGGUGGGAGGCUUUGAAGCGUGGACGCCAGUCUGCGUGGAGCCAACCUUGAAAUACCACCCUUUAAUGUUUGAUGUUCUAACCUGGCGCCGUAAUCCGGCGUGGGGACAGUGUCUGGUGGGUAGUUUGACUGGGGCGGUCUCCUCCCAAAGUGUAACGGAGGAGCACGAAGGUCAGCUAAUCCUGGUCGGACAUCAGGAGGUUAGUGCAAUGGCAUAAGCUGGCUUGACUGCGAGAGUGACGGCUCGAGCAGGUGCGAAAGCAGGUCAUAGUGAUCCGGUGGUUCUGUAUGGAAGGGCCAUCGCUCAACGGAUAAAAGGUACUCCGGGGAUAACAGGCUGAUACCGCCCAAGAGUUCAUAUCGACGGCGGUGUUUGGCACCUCGAUGUCGGCUCAUCACAUCCUGGGGCUGAAGUAGGUCCCAAGGGUAUGGCUGUUCGCCAUUUAAAGUGGUACGCGAGCUGGGUUUAGAACGUCGUGAGACAGUUCGGUCCCUAUCUGCCGUGGGCGCUGGAGAAUUGAGGGGGGCUGCUCCCAGUACGAGAGGACCGGAGUGGACGCAUCACUGGUGUUCGGGUUGUCAUGCCAAUGGCACUGCCCGGUAGCUAAAUGCGGAAGAGAUAAGUGCUGAAAGCAUCUAAGCACGAAACUUGCCCCGAGAUGAGUUCUCCCUGACUCCUUGAGAGUCCUGAAGGAACGUUGAAGACGACGACGUUGAUAGGCCGGGUGUGUAAGCGCAGCGAUGCGUUGAGCUAACCGGUACUAAUGAACCGUGAGGCUUAACCUU
Molecule: ribosomal RNA, 1692 nt
Filed under: Cronobacter sakazakii
Lineage: Bacteria; Pseudomonadati; Pseudomonadota; Gammaproteobacteria; Enterobacterales; Enterobacteriaceae
Description: partial 23S ribosomal RNA
Rfam family: Bacterial large subunit ribosomal RNA
Source: RNAcentral